Mirounga angustirostris (Northern elephant seal) is the source of this 915-nucleotide long non-coding RNA. RefSeq lists it as uncharacterized. The transcript has 4 exons. The record is from RefSeq and is a predicted model, not a curated record. Lineage: Eukaryota; Metazoa; Chordata; Mammalia; Carnivora; Phocidae.
GCUCGUUUGCACCUGCCGGGGCCGCUCGGGCCGGCCGGGAUCUGGGCCCUCGGGGUUAGAGGGCCCGAGAGAAUGUGGAACCCAGCCGCGUUCCCUGGCCUGGGGAUUGGGGGAGGGGAGAGGUUCCCGCCCGGGUUGGUGCCUUCGCCCCCGCGGUCUGUCCGAGAACACACCGGCCUCUGUUGCAAAAGGGCCGCGCGCGGUGAGGCAUCCCACACCCCCUCACCCCCCCAUCCCCCGACCCGGACGGUUCUCCGGCCGCGUCCUCCUCCUGCCUAAAUCCCCUCCUCCAGGAGUCCUGUAGGAUAAAGCACGCCAGGGUGCCCAGCGCAGGCCUGGCCCUGAGACGGAAGACGGAUGAUGGGUGGAUGAAUUAGAAAAGCCUUAUCCCACGUUCGAUAAGGGCUGUGACAAGUCUUCACCUAUGUAUAAGUACCAAAUUACAAAAUACCUUACAAGUGGUCCAGUCUGAUACCACUCGCCAUCACCACCACCACCAUCGUUUGAUGCUUGAAACUCUCAAUAGGUUGGAGUAAGUACUGUUCAGACACACGUGACAAAUGAUGUCUAUACUCAGUGCCCACAGCUAUGGUGAACCUAGGCUUAGAUGUGAUUCCUGGCUACUGACCUGAACCACAACAGAUUUUCCUCCUACUUAAGAAAGAAUGUUGCCUGCAAGGUCCUCCAACUCAAUCUGCACUCACCCAUAUGAUUUUCUUCAGCCAGUGGGUAUAGCUGACCCAAGGCAAGCAGAGGUUUGAAAUACGCUUACACGGGGCGCCUGGGUGGCUCAGUUGGUUAAGUGACUGCCUUCGGCUCAGGUCAUGAUCCUGGAGUCCCAGGAUCAAGUCCUGCAUUGGGCUCCCUGCUCGGCAGGGAGUCUGCUUCUCCCUCUGACCCUCCCCCGUCUCAUGC